UUCCGGUUGAUCCCGCCGGACCCGACUGCUAUCAGAGUGGGACUAAGCCAUGCGAGUCGACGUAGCAAUGCGUGGCGAACGGCUCAGUAACACGUAGUCAACAUGCCCAGGGGACGUGGAUAACCUCGGGAAACUGAGAAUAAACCACGAUAGGUCACGAUUUCUGGAAUGGAUCAUGGCAUAAAUCUACAUGGCCCCUGGAUUGGACUGCGGCCGAUCAGGCAGUUGGUGAGGUAAUGGCCCACCAAACCUAUAACCGGUACGGGCUCUGAGAGGAGAAGCCCGGAGAUGGGCACUGAGACAAGGGCCCAGGCCCUAUGGGGCGCAGCAGGCGCGAAACCUCUGCAAUAGGCGAAAGCCUGACAGGGUUACUCUGAGUGAUUUCCGCUAAGGGGAUCUUUUGGCACCUCUAAAAAUGGUGCAGAAUAAGGGGUGGGCAAGUCUGGUGUCAGCCGCCGCGGUAAUACCAGCACCCCGAGUGGUCGGGACGAUUAUUGGGCCUAAAGCAUCCGUAGCCGGUUCUGCAAGUCCCCCGUUAAAUCCAGCUGCUCAACAGAUGGGCCGCGGAGGAUACUACAGAGCUAGGAGGCAGGAGAGGCAAGCGGUACUCAAUGGGUAGGGGUAAAAUCCGUUGAUCCAUUGAAGACCACCAGUGGCGAAGGCGGCUUGCCAGAAUGCGCUCGACGGUGAGGGAUGAAAGCUGGGGGAGCAAACCGGAUUAGAUACCCGGGUAGUCCCAG
This 740-nucleotide ribosomal RNA is filed under the name uncultured archaeon. Its description in RNAcentral is "bacterial SSU rRNA". It matches the Rfam family "Archaeal small subunit ribosomal RNA", at positions 1 to 750 of the family's 1478-position model. The record is from RNAcentral.